AUAUUUAAAAAGGAGUACCAAGAAAUUUUAUUUCAGGAGUUAUUUUCGUGUGCACAUAAGAAGAUAUAACUCUUCGCAAAAUAUUGGUGUCCAUUUGUCGCCCAAUGUGAAACUGGAGAAGUGAACUCUGUCUGUGCAUUUUCAGUGAUUGUACAGUAGAAUCAGGUGGCACACAUCAACGUGAGAUGGAUUUAUACCAGAUUCAAUUACAUUUAUCCCACUGAACUCUACUCCUGUUUUAAUUCUGAAUAUAAUAAUAGACCCCAUGGAAGUCGCCUUGAGCAAAUAAAUCUAACGAACUUGGAGAUUAAUUCUGGGUGAUGCAAGUGAUGCAAGGGUGAUAAUCGGUGAUAAGACAAAAAGAGGUGUGAUAGGAUGAUAAGAGGUGAUAGGAUGAUAAGAGAUGAUCAGAUGAUAAAACCGUGAUAGGAUGAUAGGAGGUCAUAUGAUAAGAGAUGAUCGGAUAAUAAGAGAUGAUCAGAUGAUAAAAGGGUGAUAGGAUCAUAGGAGGUGAUAUGAUGAUAAGAGAUGAUAUGAUGAUAAUAGAUGAUAUGAUGAUAAGAGGUGAUAUGAUGAUAAGAGGUGAUAGGAUGAUAAGAGGUGAUAUGAUGAUAAGAGAUGACUGGAUAAUAAGAGAUGAUCGGCUGAUAAGAUGUGAUAGGAUGAUAGUUACUUUUUAUAAGUGGUGAUAGGAUGAUAAGAUGUGAUAGAACAUUAAGAGGUGAUAGGAUGAUAGGAGGUGAUAGGACGAUAAGAGAUGAUCGGAUGAUAAAAGAUGAUCGGAUGAUAAGAGAUGGUCGGAUGAUAAGAGAUGAUCGGAUGAUAAGAGGUGAUAUGAUGAUAAUAGGUGAUCGGAUGAUAGGAGGUGAUAGGAUGAUAAGAGAUGAUCAGAUGAUAAAGAUGACCGGAUGAUAAGAGAUGAUAAGAGGUGAUAUGAUGAUGAGAGGUGAUAGGAUGAUAAGAGGUGAUAGAAUGAUAGGAGGUGAGAGGAUUGUAGGAUGUUAAGGGGUGAUAGGGUGAUAAGAUGUGAUAGGAAAAUAAGAGGGGAUAAGAGAUGAUAUGAGGUGAUAGAACAAUAAGAGGGGUUAGAACAAUAGUUGAUAUGAUGAUAAGGGGUGAUCGGAUGAUAGGAUGAUAAGAGGUGACUGGAUGAUAAAAGGUGAUCGGAUGAUAAGAAGUGAUGAGGUUAUAAGUGGUGAUAGGAUGAUAAGAUGUGAUAGAACAUUAAGAGGGGAUAGUACGAUAGGUGAUAGGAUAAUAAGAGAUGAUAGGAUGAUACGAGAUGAUAGGACACUAAGAGGGGAUAGAACAAUAGAUAAUAGGAUGAUAGGGGUGAUAUGAUAAUAAGGGGUGAUAUGAUGAUAAGAGGUGAUCGGAUAAUAAGAGGGGAUAGGACAAUAGGUAAUAUGAUAAUAAUGGGGGAUAGAAUAAACUUCCCAUAUAACGUGCAUUCCAGACUUACAUAAUAGGACAAUAAGAAGUGAUAGGAUGAUAGGUGAUAGGAUGGUAAGAGGUGAUAGUAUAAUAGGGGGUGAUAGGACAAUAAGAGGUGAUAGGAUGAUAGGUGAUAGGAUGGUAAGAGGUGAUAGGAUGAUAAGAGAUGAUAGGACAAUAAGAGGUGAUAGGAUAAUAAUGGAUGAUAGGACAAUAAGAGGUGAUAGGAUGAUAAGGGAUGAUAGAACAAUAAGAGAUGAUAGGUGAUAGGACAAUUAUUAUUAAUAUUAUUAUGAUAUUUAAAGAACGCCAUCAAAUUCCGCAGCGCUUUACAAUGCGUGGACGAACAGACAUGUACUUAUAACCAGACAAGUUGGACACACAGAAACAGAGGAGUUGAGGGCCCUGCUCAAUGUGCUUACAUGCUAGAGGAAGUGGGGUAAAAUGACACAAAAAGGUAAGGAUAGUAUUAGACUAGUGACAGUUGCAGAAGAGGAAUCAGUCAGGAGCUAUUAACAGUUUAAUUGAUACGCUUUUAUGAAGAAGUGGGUUUUUAAUGAUUUUUUGAAGGAGUGGAGACUGGGUGAGCAUCUAACGGAGGAGGGAAGCG
Pelobates cultripes (western spadefoot toad) is the source of this 2044-nucleotide non-coding RNA. NCBI's taxonomy places the organism in Eukaryota, Metazoa, Chordata, Amphibia, Anura, Pelobatidae. The record is from the annotation of a GenBank genome assembly.